RNAcentral lists this ribosomal RNA (441 nucleotides) under uncultured bacterium. Its description in RNAcentral is "partial 16S ribosomal RNA". It matches the Rfam family "Bacterial small subunit ribosomal RNA", at positions 338 to 795 of the family's 1533-position model. The record is from RNAcentral.
CCUACGGGAGGCAGCAGUGGGGAAUAUUGCACAAUGGGGGAAACCCUGAUGCAGCGACGCCGCGUGAGUGAAGAAGUAAUUCGUUAUGUAAAGCUCUAUCAGCAGGGAAGAUAAUGACGGUAUCUAACGAAUAAGCACCGGCUAACUCCGUGCCAGCAGCCGCGGUAAUACGGGGGAUGCAAGCGUUAUCCGGAUUUAUUGGGUUUAAAGGUUGCGUAGGCUGUGAGGUAAGUCAGCGGUGAAAUGCCCCCGCUCAACGGGGUGAAGUGCCCUUGAUACUGCCUUGCUGGAAUGCGGAUGCCGUGGGAGGAAUGUGUGGUGUAGCGGUGAAAUGCAUAGAUAUCACACAGAACACCGAUUGCGAAGGCAUCUCACGAAUCCGCGAUUGACGCUGAUGCACGAAAGCGUGGGUAUCAAACAGGAGUAGAUACCCCUGUAGUC